RNAcentral lists this ribosomal RNA (253 nucleotides) under uncultured bacterium. Its description in RNAcentral is "partial 16S ribosomal RNA". It matches the Rfam family "Bacterial small subunit ribosomal RNA", at positions 524 to 776 of the family's 1533-position model. The record is from RNAcentral.
UACAGAGGGUGCAAGCGUUAAUCGGAAUUACUGGGCGUAAAGCGUGCGCAGGCGGUUUCUUAAGUCAGAUGUGAAAGCCCCGGGCUUAACCUGGGAACUGCGUUUGAAACUGGGAGACUUGAGUGUGGCAGAGGGGGGUGGAAUUCCACGUGUAGCAGUGAAAUGCGUAGAUAUGUGGAGGAACACCGAUGGCGAAGGCAGCCCCCUGGGUUAACACUGACGCUCAUGCACGAAAGCGUGGGGAGCAAACAGG